CCUGGAGGGGAGGGGUCCCUCAGCCUGGAUUGCGAGAGAGCAAAUGCCAGGCUGAGGGACCCCACUGGUGCACG
RNAcentral lists this microRNA precursor (74 nucleotides) under Myotis brandtii (Brandt's bat). RNAcentral's name for it is "mir-9193 microRNA precursor family". It matches the Rfam family "mir-9193 microRNA precursor family". The record is from Rfam by way of RNAcentral. Lineage: Eukaryota; Metazoa; Chordata; Mammalia; Chiroptera; Vespertilionidae.